AUACGGAGGGUGCAAGCGUUAUUCGGAAUCACUGGGCGUAAAGGACGCGUAGGCGGGUUGACAAGUCAGAUGUGAAAUCCUACAGCUUAACUGUAGAACUGCAUUUGAAACUGCUAACCUAGAGUAUGGGAGGGGGAGAUGGAAUUAGUGGUGUAGGGGUAAAAUCCGUAGAUAUCACUAGGAAUACCGAAAGCGAAGGCGAUCUCCUGGAACAUAACUGACGCUAAGGCGUGAAAGCGUGGGGAGCAAACAGGAUUAGAAACCCUAGUAGUCC
RNAcentral lists this ribosomal RNA (274 nucleotides) under uncultured bacterium. Its description in RNAcentral is "partial 16S ribosomal RNA". It matches the Rfam family "Bacterial small subunit ribosomal RNA", at positions 523 to 796 of the family's 1533-position model. The record is from RNAcentral.